This 593-nucleotide ribosomal RNA is filed under the name uncultured bacterium. RNAcentral's name for it is "bacterial SSU rRNA". It matches the Rfam family "Bacterial small subunit ribosomal RNA", at positions 44 to 634 of the family's 1533-position model. The record is from RNAcentral.
GUGCUAUACAUGCAAGUCGAACGUGAAAAGGGGCAACCCUUAGUAAAGUGGCGCACGGGUGAGUAACACGUGGGUAACCUGCCUUUUAGUGGGGAAUAACACAGCGAAAGUUGUGCUAAUGCCGCAUAAGUAAGCAAUUAAAAAGAGGGCGUCCGCAAGGAGCUCUUGCUGAAAGAAGGGCCCGCGGCCUAUUAGCUAGUUGGUGGGGUAAUGGCCUACCAAGGCUACAAUAGGUAUCCGGUCUGAGAGGAUGAUCGGACACACUGGAACUGAGACACGGUCCAAACUCCUACGGGAGGCAGCAGUAGGGAAUAUUGCGCAAUGGGGGAAACCCUGACGCACCAACGCCGCGUGAGUGAGGAAGGUCUUAGGAUUGUAAAACUCUGUUCUUGGGGAAAAAUGAUACUUUGGUUAAUACCCUUAGUAAGUGAUGGUACCCAAGUAGAAAGCACCGGCUAACUUCGUGCCAGCAGCCGCGGUAAUACGAAGGGUGCAAGCGUUGUUCGGAAUCAUUGGGCGUAAAGCGCGCGCAGGCGGAUCAGUAAGUCAGGUGUGAAAUCUCGAAGCUCAACUUCGAAACUGCGCCUGAAACU